UGGCUCAGAUGGUAAAGAAUCUGCCUGCAAUGCAGAAGACCCAGGUUUGAUCCCUGG
Molecule: transfer RNA, 57 nt
Organism: Ovis aries (sheep)
Lineage: Eukaryota; Metazoa; Chordata; Mammalia; Artiodactyla; Bovidae
Rfam family: tRNA
About the family: Transfer RNA (tRNA) molecules are approximately 80 nucleotides in length. Their secondary structure includes four short double-helical elements and three loops (D, anti-codon, and T loops).
Source: Rfam